UCAUUGCAAAAUCCUUUAUUUUAUUCAGUAUGUAUCUUCAGUCGUUGUGACUGUAGAUAAUCUUUAGUGUGACUUCUGGUGUCCAGCCAUACACACACGUUCACGUACAUACACACAAAACCUUUCCACAGAGAGACACACACGUCUCCUGCAGCAGGAAGAGGAUUAAUAUCAGUAGCACAUGACAACAAUAGUGUGUUAUGCAAAGAUUGGGUUGUAAUACAGUCUUUGUUGGGACUUUAAAGCCACAGCCACAUCACAUCACUACUCAUCCUGCUAGCCAAUUUGCCUGUCGGCAUGGCAACCGCCCCAGGCUGAAGCCAGAAGCAAGACCGGAAUCUCAAUGCCAGCCUGAUCGGAGAGAGAGAGAGAACACACACAGACAGAAUGUUCUAGUGGAGAGAAAAGUUCACAAGUGGCCAAAGUGACCCGGCACUGUCCAAGCCAAGAUCUCAGAAAUAGGGGUUGGAGUUGGUAAAGUCUGAUAUUUUCCUCAGGCUAAAUGAGUCAGUCAGUCAUUCAUGACAAGAACAAAAACAUAAAUUCCAUAUGUUUCGAACAUUCAGCAAAUUCAAACAUUUCCUCACAAGACACCAUCUGGAUGUGGCCAACCAGUUGCUGCCUGGUGUGACUGAGUAUAUGUAUGCACUGUAGUGGUGGUGUGUGCUGGUUGGGAGGGAGUGUGUGUGGAGUUAUCCUGCAGGUUGCGGAGUGUGUUGGGUCAGUGCGGAGCGGUCAGCAGCUGCUGCCUGGCCUGCGUUCCACGAUUCCCAGGCUAGAGGAGGUACUGGAGGGAGGGAUGGAUGGAGGAGGGGACUGACAGGGCCCGUAAUAAAAUCAGGCGCCGUGGUUGGACUGUGUGCGGCCCAUUGUUCCUUGGACGGAGCCCGAGGCUGCUGUUUACUUUCUCCCAUAUGCAUUAUUCAACAGCACAGGAGCUCCCAGAGAAAGGGGCCCCAUUCAGGGAUCCUCUUGCCCUUGUUUUGUUUUGCUAAUUUUCAAUUGAAAUAAACCAUCUCUCGCCAGGGCCAGGCUGAGCGGGGGAGAGGGACAGGGGAUGGGGGGACGGCGAGUCCAGACCCUUUAACAUUGAGGCGUCUGAGAAGAUUAGACUGGUGAGGAUAAAAUGCUACUUACCAUCUACUAUGGCCGAGGCAGUAUAUGUUUUUUACAGUGGGGUUUAAGGCAGACAAUGAGACAGGACGUUGUGUUCGGUUGAGAGCAUAUGCUGACCUCUUCUUUUCUGUUGUUGUUGUCCCACAAACAUGACCCACUUAUCAUUGUCCAAAUGUUUGUUUAUCUGCUUGAUCUAUGUCAACAUAUUCAAAUAUGCUCAUAGUUCUGCACUGUAGAUCAACAUGCACAUUUUUGCAUUGAUCCGCUAGGCUACAGAUGUUCUGUUUAAAUUGUCCUACUGUGUGAGACACAGGGUUCCCAUGUGCCCAGUGAAAUUUUGAACAAAUCACAAAGACAAAGCCUUGUCAAUAAUGAGUCCCAGAGGUCAUUAAAUGAAGCUAGCCAGUGCAGGCUGGACUAAUCAAUAAGUCCACUGAACUCAUUUUUGUUGUCCUGCAUUUACACAGGAGGGGGCUGAGCCAAGGGGAACUGAGGAGGGGACAGAUGCGGUGACACUGGGGAGUGAGGAGCUGUGAGGAGAGCUAAAGAUUCACCACACAUCUGUCACUCCAACAGGGAAGGCAGAAGCUACCCAGGGUGGGUCUGCCCUCGCUGACAGCUUGCCUCCCUGACUGCCUGGCUCCAUGACUCCAUGCCUACCUGUCUCUGUCUGUCGCUUAGCCCAUCUGCCACCUUGCCUGCCUCCUGUCUCCAAUCCUGACCCUCUGUCAGUUAGUCUGUCUGUAUGUCCCAUUCCCUGUCAGACUCCUGAUCAACCUGUUACCUAACCAUGUUCUCCCUCCAACAAGUGCCUCUUAAAAAUACAUUCAGAAUUGGCACUUUUCACAAGGAUCCCACCACUCUCACUCUCCCAGUAACUAGAGUCUGCAGAUCAUACUGUAAUUACAGCUUUUAGCAGCAACCUGUUGCAGCCUGCUCUGCCCUGCACUGUCAACAUCCGUGUUAACUGCACUGAACUCUUCACCAGUAUAGCUGUGUUCUAGCACUAACCGCUAAUAAGGAUCCCAGGCCAUCCAAAACAAGGAAGGAUUCUCCACUUAUUUGACAGUGCCCCUGUUCCCUAUUAGUGGUGUUAGUGAGAGGAGGCUGAAUGUAGAGGCCCUCUUGGGUUGGCUGGAUAGAGGCUGUUCCCUGCUGGGUGCAGGUGAGCUCUCAAUGCUUCCCCUCGCAUCUGUCCUCUUUUAUCCCCGACUGGUGGCUUUAUGGCGCGAGGUGAAGGGAUCCAUCCGUCUGUCUCUCGUAAAGCUAGCAGCUCGGCGCUGCUCUGUAGAGGCCCAGUAAAGCCCACACUGCUGCCAGGGCAUUGUGUGGGGUCCGGGGCCCCCGAGUGACCCAGUCAACCAGAGAGAGAGAGAAAGAGAGAGAGACCCUGUCAGCAUCCACCUCCCCAUACACACACACACACACACGCAUUCACACACACACUCAUUCACACACACACGGCAUGCAUGAAGGCACACACGCUGACACACACACACACACACACGCACACACACACACACACACACACACACUAUACCCAUGAUCCUUAGCCACCCAAUGGAUCUGAUACCUCCCGGUGUCUGGUUUCAAAGUGCUAACGACUUGUUCUCUUCUUCCACUCUGCUAUCUUAGGUUUCAUGUUUCUGACGCUCCUCUCUCUCUCCGCACUUCUGAAAAACACUGUCAAAAAGUAGAACUUUACAUAUCAGAUUAGAGUCAAUGGAAUUUAAGAGAUAUACUUUGUACAUGUAUCAAAUCAACAUCUGACACAAACAAAUAUGGAUUUCCAUGUAACGCCAUGGUAAAUAGUAAUACUAACUCCAUAAGCAGAGAGGGCUGUGUCUGUCGGCUAAAAGCUGCACCCUGAGGGGGCUGACUGAGAAACAGCCCUCUCUGCCCAAUAGAACAGCUCAAUGGCCAUAGGAGGUCAAUGAUUGCACAGAAAUAAGCAGCACAUUAAAGUUCAAUUGAUAGGAUUUUCCUAGAUAUGAAAUGUUACUGAUAAGCUCAAGCAAAUGAUGUGUCUGAAAGGAGGUCCACACGCAGCUUGCUGUUUGAGAUUUACUAAGGCUUUGAGUGGGGGCAUCUUCAAAACCAAUUAUCAGACAAGAAAUAGAUAAUUUCUUCUCUGAGGAUUGGGUUGGGGAGGUGGGGGGCAAAAGACUGUUGGUAAAAGGAAGGAGGGUUUUUCUCAGAUUGGGGGGCACAAUAAAGACAUAAUCAUCUCCCCUCAACUUUUCCUAUCCAACUUUCAGAUUUUAAUUUGCCGUCUGUGAAGUGGUACCUAAUUUACUUUCGCCUCAUCCCUUCAAUGCGCCAUUGUUGCUGCCGCUGAGACUCGGAGCUUCCUCUCGUAGCUCACCUCGGCGUGAAAUUGGUUUAAUGAAGCUGAAAGGUAUGGGCUCUCACAACACUGUGGAUUCCAGCCGUACUGCUUUAUCCUCCCCUCUCUCCCGCUCUCCCCACUCACUCACAUUACGGUGACAAUUUAUAACGCUGUGCACAAAAGAUCUCUAUCUCACUCAUUACAUCAGUGGAUAUUACUGUCCCCUUUGAGAGGAGCCAACUCUUAGGCAAACACGAUGGGGGGGGGGCACCACAAAUUAACAGCAGAUACGAAUAUUCAAAUGGGUCCGAUAUGUUGCAGCAGCCCUAACUUUAGAGAGAAAGUGAGAACGAAAAGGUGGAUUAGAGAGAGAGAGACACACACAGAAGGAGGAUAGCAGGUGUGGAUAGGUGAAACUAAUCUGUGUGCACCUUUCUGCCUUCCUGUUUUUCCCACCUCUUCCAAUCUGACCCUGUGAAAGGUGUUCUCCUGUUACCACUACUCCUGGGUGUGGCUUGGAAUGGAAGUCCUGUGGGAUUACUGUGUGUGUUACAUAAAUAUCAUCCCCCGUAGUCAUACCGCUUACUUCUUCGAGUCCCCUUUUGGGACAAUCCAGUGGAAAUGCAUCGGUAACCGAAUCCACUUCUGGUUGGAGGCCCAGGUGGAGUUUGGUAUUUGGUGAAGAAAGUAAAAAAGAGGAAGAGAAAGUAGGCUAGUGGAGUGCAGGGACGCUGCAGCAUAUAACUCUGUGGGUUUGCUGUAAUGGUGCUGUAAUGGUGCUGUAAUGGUGCUUAAAUGGCUUCCCAUGCCAGAGGUGUGACUGAGCCUGAUCUGUUUGGUAAAUGUGUGUAUGUGUGCUGUUUGGUAAAUGUGUGUGUGUGUGUGUGUGUGUGUGUGUGUGUGUGUCCCUUCAACUGAGAGCCUAACGAAAGCAGGAAGGGGAGUAGAGUGACUUACAAAAGUCUCUUUACUCCGUAAUGACAUGCACAUUAUGUUGAACUACUUUCACAACCUCAAUGGCCACUGUAACUAAAAAAGAAUGACCACUUUCUCUGUCUGUGGCCAAGAGCACGCAUUGUUGUUUGUCUUUGGAAUACCAACGCGGGUGAGGCUGCUAGCUAUAUGAAGUGUGCCCGACAACUUUCCUUUCAGGGUGCGAUUUUGAAACUCACAAAAGAAAUGUCAAAUUAUCGUCAAACUUUUUUUUUUCAAUUGUGAAGCCAAACAAUCAUCUUUUUCUCAGGGGAAAAUGAGUUGUAAACACUUUCUUGUUACUGAUUGCCCCAUCUCUGAGGCCUGUUUAGUGAAUAGCAUAAGGACAGUUAAGCAUUUUUAAAGCCGCUAACACACACACACACAUUUAGGGAAGCGUUGAGGUGCUGCUGCUAAACUGCAGUGUUUAACCUCAUGAGGUGAUGAAACCUGAUCUGCAGUGGAACCCGGGCAGGUAAGAUUAGUUGUACUGAGCCAUGGGAGUGCUAUCUUUUACACCUAAUUACUCAAUUAUCAGUAAACACUGUCGUAGAAGACACAAUGCCAGAGGAGAAAUCACACACAUUGCAAACGGACUCAAUUCAACACCACUAGUUCAUGCCUAUAGUUGCUUACACAGCGUGGCUCUGUCAGACUACAGAAUAUCAUCAGAAAGGCUUUACAGGGAAUUUUUUUUGGCUCUUGUUACAAGGAAUGUUAAUGAUAUGAAUGAACUAAAAGAAGAUAACAGAACAUUUAUUUUGGUCGUAGUAUCGUGGUAUGCACUAAUGAAUACAAUUUUGAUGUUCGGGAAGACUAUUUUUUGGAUAAUAUUAGCUAUUGAAAACAUUGGAUAUUGAUAACAUUGGCCGUUGAUAACAUUGGCUAUUGUAAUACAGUUCAAAGCUGAGCUUGAACAUGUAGUUUGUCCCCUCCAAAGAUGGGAAUCAGCCUGCGAGAUUGAAUAACAAGCAAACAUUUGAUAAUAACAAAAAUAUCAAAGAUUGUAAAACAACUACACACAUGAAAAUGUAGAUCCUCUCUCUCCUUCAAAAUAUCAUAACAUCCAUCCUGCAGUACUUCUUCCUUCCACUGAUGGGGGCUGGUGUACAUGGCUGACAGAUUUCCCUCAGGUCCCCUCUGUCUUUUCCUUGGCCUUGUUUGAACAGUGUUGGGAGCAAACUGUGAUUUUACGAGUUUGUUUAAAGACAAGGGUUGACUAAGGUGAAGACACAGACAGUCAGGUAGACAAGUAGAGAGGGUAGAUUGACGAAGCUGGGCGUUCAGUUACGCUGAGAAAAGCUGAAAGGAUGAGCAAAACCCCCGAGUCCCCAGAAAAAUGCACUAAUAUCAAAUCAACAAUCAACAGAGCACACAAGUGUGUCUCCGACUCGCACCUCUUUUGGUCCUCUCUAAACGUUUAACAAAGAUUGUUAGUGUGGAUAAGAUCUGAGACUAACUCAUCCGUAUCGAACACUGUCAUAGGGCUUGAUUGGUGAGUAGACUUAAGUCAGUGCGUUUUCCUUCUGGAUGGAGUCUUUCUAUAUAGAACAGGACAGAGACACAGUGGACCUACGUAAGCCAGUGUAACGAAUGGGCUGUGAAACCACACACAGAGAGACACACACACAUAUUCA
Molecule: long non-coding RNA, 6054 nt
Organism: Oncorhynchus tshawytscha (Chinook salmon)
Lineage: Eukaryota; Metazoa; Chordata; Actinopteri; Salmoniformes; Salmonidae
Source: Ensembl